CAAUAGCGUAUAUUAAAGUUGUUGCAGUUAAAAAGCUCGUAGUUGGAUUUCUGUGAGAGUGCCGGUGUCGGCUGAUGCUUGUACGCAGGCGCUCUUACAUCCUUCUGUUAACUGUUCUUGGCAUUUUAUUGCUGGUUCAGGGCUCAGAUAUUUUACCUUGAGAAAAUUAGAGUGUUUCAGGCAGGCUUAUGCCGGAAUACAUUAGCAUGGAAUAAUGGAACAGGACCUGUGCGUCUCUCGGGGCGCCGGUCUCCGUUGUUGGUUUCGGGGACUAAUGUAAUGAUUAAUAGGGAUAGUUGGGGGCAUUAGUAUUUAAUAGCCAGAGGUGAAAUUCUCGGAUUUGUUAAAGACUAACUUAUGCGAAAGCAUUUGCCAAGGAUGUUUUCAUUAA
This 391-nucleotide ribosomal RNA is filed under the name uncultured eukaryote. RNAcentral's name for it is "partial 18S ribosomal RNA". It matches the Rfam family "Eukaryotic small subunit ribosomal RNA", at positions 592 to 976 of the family's 1831-position model. The record is from RNAcentral.